UACACACAAUUAGACACUGCAAUGGGGGGACAGAACUGGGGAACGAAGGGUCUGGGAAUCACACAAAAAACAGAACUAUCUUCUUUCUCACGAAGAAUCAACCAAAUUAAUCAAAAAUUUUAAAAAAAAGCUUCACUUGUUUUCAGCUAUCUUCUUCUUUUCCCAAGCGACAGAACACAAAGUUUCAACACAAUGUAAAUUCUCCAUAGCCUAUUGCAUCCAUCAAUGAAAGAAACUCCAUUUCUUCACCAUUAAACCAUCACAAAUCAGCCCCCAAAAUCACCAGAAAAACAUCUUGUAUAAACCACUUGAAGCCAUCUUAAAUUCAAGUGAAAUCUCGUUCUAGAGUUCCGGCGAAAAUAGAGGUGAGUGAACGAGCAGCUGCUGGUCACUUGCGAGUGAAGCGACGAGCUCUCUGUUAGCAGAAGCGAGGUGUCGAUUCAAGCCUGUCGAGUGAAGGCAGGGUUCAGUGUAGUCGUCAUGUUCCGGCGAGGUUAAGCGGGUCCGGUCAACAGUAGCUCAUCCCGCUUGUGUGGAGGUUCACUUUGAGGUUAUUUUCUUUCACUUUGGUGUAAUUCUAUAUCUAUGUUUGCAUGCAUUUGUUCUUUGCAAAUUUAUGUGAAUAAGGUAUGUUUUCUUACAACUUGUUUUAGUCAGUUGGUGAGCUUCCUUAUUGUUUUAGCUAUCAAACAGCUUACUCACGUAAUCAUCUCGUUUUAUCUCAAAGUUGCAUGUUUAAAUUAUUAGUAGUAUGGUUCAUAAUCUGUGUAAGUUACUUUAGGUUGUGAUAAUGAUUCAGAUGAAUUAAUUUUUAUUUCAUUGCCCAUGAUUUGUAAAAUAAUAUUUUGGGAAAGAAAACUUGGAAAGCAGAACAAAUUUUUGAGCAGUGGUGUAUCUAGGAUAUAAGAUUCCUUGGUGCUCAAACUUUUUUUUUUUAAUAGUAUUACUACAGUACACAAUUAUUUCAAUACGACAGUGAAAAAAGUUGAUGAGAAAACUCAUAAAAAAUAGAACGAAGAAGGAGGAAGAACCUUGAAUAUAAGAAAAAGAAACAGAAAGUGUUAUUGGUGAGAAUCAAACUCUGGCCUUUAAUAUUACUAAGCUUCCAACACCCCUUCUUAACCAAAGCAACCACCAGUGGUUUUAUUAUUAUCUGGGUUCUUUUGAUAAUAUAUAUCUAUUUCAUUAAGUUUUCUAUGGAAUUAUACCUAUCCAAAGUUAAGAUUAAUGGGUGCUUAAGCAUCCAAAUUUUCUAUAUAGAUCGCCCGUGUUUGUGAGGCCUUUGGUUCGUGUGCGCCCAACGUGACAUGGAUUGUAAUGUCUGAAGAAAUUUUUUCACAUGGCAUCUUCUCAAAUGCAUUUACUCUUCUUUUGAUAUGGCGGAGAAUUCAUCUAAUGUUUGUGUUCACAUCUUUUCUUUGUAUGGAUUGGUUCCACGGCUUGUUGGUGCAUUCACGCCAAUUACCUCCAUAUCACGGCCUAGUAGUUUAACAAUCUAAGCCACCAUUUUCACAGCAAAUUUUCAUUAUUCAUGACUCACACUUUUUAAUCUCAAAUCCCAUAAAUAGAAAGCGUAGUUGCUAUACGCAUGUAAUUUAAAUUACUGUCUUAUAUUAGGGUGUGCAUUUCAUGUGAUCCAAAUUUAAAUCCUAAAACGUUGAAUAACGUGUAUAUCGGGUUGUGGGUGCAUUUCAUAUGAAGCGAUCCAAAAACAUAUUCUAGACGACGUUCAAUCUUCCUUAAAAUUAAUUAAAAGCGGUAAAUAAUUUAAAAUUUCACUAUAGGUUCGGACAUAUUUAAAAUCAGACAGUAGGCCAAUUAUAAUAGCUUAAGCGACCGUGCUAGAACCACGGAAUCUGGGGGUGCCUAACACCUUCCCUCGAGUUAAUAGAAUUCCUUAUUCAGAAUUUUUAGUUCGCAGACUUCAUAAAAAAAGUCAAAUUUUUCUCGAUUUGGGAUUUAAAAUAAAAUGGUAAUAUCACUUAAAUUGGAAAAACUCCCUUAUAUAUUACCCUUCGGGAUAGUGUGAAAAAAGGAGGUGUGACAUACAUUAAAAUAGAUUUUCAAAUGAUUUCCAUAAAAGUACAAAAAUCCCCGGGCCCAUACGGUCAAAACCCGAGGUUCGAACCAAAGCCCGAUUACUCAUUUGCCCACGAACUCAAAUAUAUUAUUUCUUUUGAAAUUUGACCUCCAAUCGAGGUCCAAAUCUUCAAAAUUUUUAAAAAUCCUAAGUUCUACCCAAAAUACCCAAUUUUCCCAUGAAACCCUUGAAUUUGAGUUAAAAUCAUGUAAAAAGAUGUUAUAGAUUAAAGAAAAUGAGUUAGAAAUGACUUACAAUCGAUUUGGAGAAGAACCUUUCGUUAGAACAACGUCCAAGAGAGCUUUGAGUUUGAGAGAGUUUGAAAAAUGAAAGGUUUUCGGCUAAGUUAUGAUUUUGCAGGUUGGAGAUGUCGUAAUUGCGAUCAGGGUUUGCAGUUGUGAAUCUCUUUUGGACCUUCUAUCUUCGCUAAUGUGAAGAAUCUGUCACAUUUGCGACCAAUGAAGAAUCUAGUCACCUUCGCAUUUGUGAAGGACAUGUCUCUUUGCAACAUUGCAAUUGCUAGGAAAGGUCGCAUUUGCGACCAAGUCCUGCCAAGCCCAGUCUUCGAAAAUGCAUAUGGGUGUUCACAAAUGAGAGCUCGCAACUGCGAGCCAGGAUUCGCAAUUGCAAAGCAUGCAAAUCUUCAACACACAUAAGUUUUUUCCUAAGUUCGAAAAACUUAGUAGUCUAUCCAAAACCCACCCGAGCCCUCGAGACUCCAAACUGAACAAGCACACAAGUUCAAAAAUAUCAUACCGACUUGCUCGUGUGAUCAAAUCAUCAAUAUAACAUUAAUAACGAUGAAUUUAGCAUCAAAAUCAAAUAAAAAUCUCAUGAACUCCUAAGUUCCAUUUUUAACAACCGAUGGUCCGAUUCACGUCAUAUCAAGUCCGUUUUAUAGAAAAUUUUACAGGCUCAACUUAAACACUAUAUAAGACCUGUAUUGGGCCCCGGAACCAAAAUACGGGCCACAUACCUUCAAAUUCAAAGUCAUUUAGAUUUCUGGAAACUCUUGUAAUUUAAGUUAAACAAUUUUGUUCAAAAAUUCAUUUCUCGAGCUUGGAAGCUCGGAAUUGACUUUCGGGCAUAUGCCUAAGUCCUAUAUUUUCCUACGGACCUUUCGAGACUGCCAAAUCAUGGGUCCGGAUAUGUUUACCUAAAAUAUUAACAAAAGUCAACUUAAAUUAAUUUUAAAAGUAAAAUUUAUCAAUUUUGACAAAUUUUCAAAUAAUGGCUUUCCGGAUACACUCCCGGACCCCGAAAAUAAAUCAAGGUGAGAUAAAAGGAGGUUUUAAGGCCUUAGAACACAGAAUUUACUUUCAAAUCAUGGGAUGACCUUUUAGGCCAUCAUAUUCUUCACCUUUAAAACAAUCGUUCAUUCUCGAACGGACAUAUGAAAAGUACAUGAGUCAGAUAAAAUAUAGGGAUAUCGGAUCUGCAUAUCAGACUCGAACUCCCAGAUCGCUGCCUUAAUAGGCUACCCCUCCACUGAACACAAAAAGAAGGAACUCUUCGAUCUUAAACGAAUAUGCUAGUCUAGAAUUGCUAUUGGAUCCUCCUCAUAGGACAAGUCCUUGUCCAAUUGGACAGCACUAAAGUCUAACACGUGGGAUGGAUUGUUGUAAUACUUUCGAAGCAGGGACACAUAAAUUACUGGAUGCACGACUGAUAAACGUGGCGGCAACGCAAGUCCAUUAGCCAGCUCUCCUACUCAUAAAGAAUCUCAAACAUGCAAAUUAAUCUAGGGCUAAGCUUGCUGCUCUUCCCAAAUCUCAUCACGUCCUUCUUAGGCGACACUCGAAGCAACACCCAUUCACCGACCAUAUUCCACAUCACGAAUCGGCAUAACUUUUUUGCCUGGACUGAUCUGUACGAAGCAUAUCUUGAAUUAUCCUGACAUUGUCCAAGGCAUCCUGUACUAGAUCCAUACCCAAAAACCGAGCCUCUCCCGGGUCAAACCAUCCAACCAAUGACCGACACCGCCUACUAUAUUAAGCCUUAUAAAGAGCCAUAUGGAUGCUCGACUGGUAACUGUUGUUGUAGGAGAACUCCGCUAAAGGCAAAAACGGAUCCCAGAAGCCUCCAAAUUCAAUAACACUAGCUCAGAGCAUAUCCUCCAAAAUCUUAAUAGUACACUCGGACUGCCCAUUCAUCCGAGGAUGAAAUGUUGUGCUUAACUCGACCCGUGUGCCUAACCCGCACUGAACUGCCCUCUAGAAAUACGAGGUAAGCCACAUACCUCGUUCAAAAAUAAUAGACACAGGCACACCAUGAAGAUGAACAAUCUCCUAGAUAUAGAUCUCAGCUAACCUUUCGGAAGAAUAGGAGACUGCCACAGGUAUGAAAUGCUGACUUGGUUAGUAUAUCAACAAUUACCCACACUCCGUCGAACAUCCUAUGAGUCUAUGGGAGUCCAACAACAAAGUCCAUAGUGAUACACUCUCACUUAGGAAUCUUAAUCUUUUGGAAAAAAAUUGCCAAGUCUCUAAUGCUCAUACUUUACCUGCUUGAAAUCCAAACACCAAGUCACAUAUGUCACAAUAUCCUUCUAUAUCCUCCAAUACCAACAAUCCUGCCACAAAUCCUAAUACAUCUUAGCGUCGGCUGGAUGAAUAGAGUACUGGGACUUAUGGGCCUCCUCUAGAAUGAACUAUCUAAUCCCAUCUACAUUAGGCAUACAUACUCGACCCUACAUACGCAACUCUCCAUCAUCUCCAAAAGUGACAUGCUUCUCACCACCUUGCCGCACUGUGUCCUUUAGGACACACAAAUAAGGAUCAUCAUACUGCCGAUCUCGAAUAUGCUCCAAUAAUGAAGAACGAACCAGUAUGAAAGCUAAUACUUGGAUGAGCUCAAAAAUAUCCAACCUUAUAAACUGAUUGGCUAAAGCCAGAACAUCCAAAGCCAGCAGUCUCUCACCAAUCAUAAUAUACGCAAGAAUGCCCAUCCUGACCGACUUCCUGCUCAAAGCAUCGACCACUACAUUGGCCUUCCUCGGAUGAUAUAAAAUGGUGAUAUCAUAGUCUUUCAAUAUCUCAGUAAAUCUGAAUAUCAUCAAUAAAGACUAUCAUGAAUGAAUCCAAGUAUGGCUUGAACACUCGGUUCAUCAAAUCCAUAAAAGUAUCUAGGGUAUUUGUCAACCCAAACGACAUCACCAAGAACUCAUAAUGCCCAUACCGAGUGUGGAAAGCUAUCUUAGGGACAUCAGAUGCCCUAAUCCUCAACAGAUGGCAUCAAGAUCUCAAGUCAUUCUUUGAAAAUACCUUGGCACCCUGAAGUCAAUCAAACAAAUCAUCAAUCCUCAAUAAUGGAUACGUAUUCUUGAUUGCUGCCUUGUUCAAGUGCAGGUAAUCUAUAUACAUCUUUAUCAAUCUGUCCUUCUUCUUAACAAACAACACUAGCACAUCCCAAGGCGAGACACUAGGUCUAAUAAAGCCUUUAUCAUUUAAGUCUUGCAACUGCUGCUUCAAUUCUUUCAACUCCGGCGGGGCCAUAGAAAUGAGAUGAAUGCCUAGAGCCAAAAUCAAUGCAGAAGUCAAUAUCCCUGUCAAGUGGCAUGCUCGAUAGGUCUGAAGGAAACACCUCAGGAAACUCACGAACAACAUGUACAAAAUCCAUAUAAGGAACCUCAACACUAAAAUCACGACCAUACACCAAAUAUGCCAAACAUCCCUUAUCAACCAUACGAAGAGCCUUCAUAUAUGAGAUAACCAUGCAUAUAGAUUGACCCCAGAGUCCCUCUCCAUUCUAGACGAGGUAAACCAAGUAAGGUUGGUCUUGGCAUGACACUCCAAGAUAACAUGGUAAGGUGAUAAUUAGUCCAUCCCUAAUAUGACAUCAAAAUCAACCAUAUCCAAAAGUAACAAAUCUACUCGAGUAUCAAGACCCCCAAUCAAAAAAAUAGAAGAAUGAUGGACACGAUAUACCAUAAUAGAAUUAUCCACUGGUGUAGACAUAUAUACAUGAGCACUCAAAGAAUUACUAGGCAUGACCAGAUACGAUGCAAAAUAAGAUGACACAUAGGAAUAUGUAGAUCCUGGAUCAAAUAGAACUGAAGCAUCUCUACCAACCAGAACAAUACUUGUGAUACCUGCAUCAGAGGCCUCAGUAUCGGGACUGGAUAGAAGAUCAUAACAUCGAGGCUGGGCCCCACCACUUUGAGUUACAUCUCUAGGAUGACCUCUUUCUUGCUGGCCUCCACCUCUAGCGGCUUGACCUCAACCUAUAAUGCCUAUACCUCCAUUUCUAGUACCUCUACCCCCUCUUGCUGGCUGACCAGACAAUGGAACACUCGGUUCCUGAACCAUGGCAUAGGAACCCCGAUGGUAAGAGCUGCUCGGUGCUCGAGGGCAAAUCUAGCAAUAUGCCUCAUAUUACCACAAGUAUAACAAGCCAUCGGCUGUUGAGACUGCUAACCCUGACGGCCUGAAUGACCACCCUGAAAACUUUGGAGUGGCGGUGCACCGAUAGAAGCUGGUGGUGCACUAUAGGACUGUUGAUCAUGUUACUGCAUAUAAGAACCACGACCACCGUGAGAAGCCUAUUGUGUUGAAUGAAACAGCCUGGAAGGAUGGACCCUAUUAAAAGAAUCCCUUCCUCUAGAUGAAGCACCACUAAAUUUGGCCGAAUGACGAGGCCUCUAGUCAGAUCUCCCACCACCCCAUAUGAUAGAACCAUCUCAACUCUUCUGGACACAUUGGCGGCAUACUGAAAGGAAAUCUCGCGCCCCAUCUUCUUAGCCAUAUGAAGUCGAAUAGUCGGAACGAGUCCCUCAAUAACCUCUCACUCCCUCUAUCUCAGUGGGAAGUAUAAGAAGAGUAUGACGGGCAAAAUCAACAAACCUGGUCAUGUACUGAAUUACACUCAUAGAACCCUGUUGUAGGCGCUCAAACUGCCUCCGAUAGUUCUCCCUCUGAGUGAUAGGAAGAAACUUCUCCAAAAAUAGCUGAGAAAACUAAUCCCAAGACAAAGUUGGUGACCCAGGUGGUCUAGCAAAACAAUAAUCCCUCCACCAAGUCUUGGAAGAUCCAGACAAAUGAAAAAUAACAAAUUCGAGCCCAUUGGUCUCCACUAUCUCCAUGCUCCCGAAAAACCUCAUAACAAUUGUCUAAAUAAUCUUGGGGAUCCUCAGAAGUAGCACCGCAGUAAGCGGUAGUGAAGAGCUUGGUAAACCUGCCCAACCUCCACAAAGCAUCAACAGACAUAGCUGACCCAUCACCGGUCUGUGCCACAACACUCAGCUAAAUUAUCCUAACCAGAUGGGCUGCUGGAGUCUAAAAUUGGCGAGCCAUCUACUCCAGAGUGCGAGUAGCAAGAGUCUGAGCUCCUCCUCCAGUUUGAGAGACAACCGGUGCUACAGGAAGCAAGCCUUUAUGGGAGAAACUCUCCAUAAGGCCCACUAGAUGGACCAAGGCAUCCUAAAGUAUCGAGGCCGCAAUGAAGCCCUCUGGGAACUGACUAGGCUGGAACCUCCUCGUCAAACUCAAACUGAAGGUUUUCAGUUGGUGCUACUAGUCGAGCUCUAGGAUGAGCUUUGCCUCUACCUUAGGCCCUAGCACGACAUCUACCUCUGCCCCUCGCAUGAGCUGCUACAAGAGGCUCGGGCUACAUGUCAGCUGAUAAAGCGGUACGUGUUCUCAUCAUCUACGAGAGAACAUUGUAGAAGUUUAAUUAGCAUUGAGAAAUCAAGUCGCAUGACAGGAAAGAAUAGAUUUGAUGUUUUUUUUUCCUAACUCUGUAGCCUCUAGGGGAUAAAUACAGGUGUCUCUGUACUAAUCCCUCAUACUCUAAUAAGCAACGUCUUUGUACUAAUCCCUCAUACUUUGCUAAGCUUGUCCGUGAGUUGUGAGACCUAAGUAAUAUAGAGCUCUGAUAACCUACUUGUCAUGACCUGGAUUUUCCAUCCUCGGGAGUCGUGAUGGCGCCUCCUAGUGCAAGCUAGGCAAGCUAGUUAUUCCAAUUGUUUAACCAUUUUCAUUUAUAGUCCCUGGAAAAUUUUAAUAUAAUAUAACAAAGCAGCGAAAAUAAUAAUAACCAAAACAAUGUGGAAGACGAAAUUUGAUAGUUUAGAUUAAUACAAGCUACGGAAGUGUAAGUACAGCUCUACCAAUAAUCUGGUAUCAUAACGUCAUGGACCAUCUAUGACUACUACAAAUAAAGACUCAAUAGAAAUACUUGAAUGUGUCUCUGAAUAAGAAAAUAUAGAAAGGGAAUGAUAGAAGGAGACGCCAAGACCUGCGGAUGCCUGGAGUGCUACCUCGGGUAGCCUGAUGAACUUGAAGCAGCAACCUCACUCUGGUCUAAAAGCUACAUCAUCGGGAUCUGCACAUAGUGCUGCACAUAGUGCAGAGUGUAGUAAAAGCAUAACCAACCCCAUGUGCUGGUAAGUGCCUAGCCUAACCUUGGCGAAGUAGUAAUGAGGCUAGGACUAGACUACCAAAUAAACUUGUGAAGUUAACUCAUAUACAACAAAAAAGUAAAUGCAGAAAAUUACCGCUAAGGAUAGGAAGGGGGAAAUAUGUUGCGGGGAACAUCAAGUAACACUAGAAAACCUAUAAAUAACGUAAGGAACACCAUAACUCAAUUAUCAGCAAGAAUCAUGAAAUCAAAGACAAUUGUACGACAUAAUCCUUCGUGCUUUUACAAUCGUCCUCACCAUAAGAAUCAAUAUAAUCGGCAUGCAUCACCCUUCGCACUUUUACCUCACAUAAUCAUGGCACUGAAUUCUCCUUCGUGCAUUAUCACUCAUAUCAUAGCACGACAUUGUACAUCGUGCAACACGGAACACGCUUCGUGCUUUAACCUCACAAUAUCGUUACAACAUCACACUUCGUGCAUUAACACUCUCUCACAAAUAUCAUGCACGGUAUCACCCUUCAUGCUUUUACACUUUUCCUUACCUAAACAAUAAUCAUAAAGCAAUAUGGGCAAGCGAAUCAAUAAAAUCACAAUGGAAUCCCGGCAAGGGAACAAUAGCAUAAUAACAAUAUCCUGACAAGCGAAACAAUACCAAAAGCAAUAACAUCUGGGAAAGGGAGAUAAUAUCAAAAGAAAUAACAUCCCGGCAAGGGAGACAACAUCAUAAACCAAUUCUAUUUUCCACAAUUACUUCACAACGCAAUUUACAAUUUAUUCCAAUGCUGUACAAUGUUUAAUUAUCAAUAAUACUUCCACAACUUAAUUCACAACUUCACCUAACGCUCUAAAAUGUUUAAUUACCAAUAUUACUUCCACAAGCCUUGUUCAUCAAUAAAAAUCAUCAUAUUAAGCAUGAACAAUAAGAAACAUAAUCACAUUUAUUAUAAUAUAAGACUCACAUGCAUGCUUGACACCGAUGUAUAGAUACUCGUCAUCAUGCAUGUACGUCGUAGCCAACAAUUAACACAUAGCAAUAAGAAAACUCCUAAUUCCUCAAGCUAAGGAUAGACAAAUUACAUACCUCGAUGUUACGAACACAAUUCAAGCCAAAACUACCGCUUUACCUCCUAUUUCCACCACAGAUUUGCUUGUAUCUAGUCACAGUUUACUUAAUAAUAUUAAUAAAUGCUAAUGAAUCAAUUAUAAUGUAUGAAAAUAAGGUUUUAAAUAAAUCUCCAAAAAGUAAAACAUCGACCCCGGGCCCACAUGGUCAAUAAUCGAGGUUCGAACUAAAAUCUGAUUACCCAUUCACCCGCAAACUCAAAUAUAUAAUUUAUUUUCAAAUUUGACCUCAAACCGAGGUCCAAAUCUCUAAAAUUUGAAAAUCCUAAGUUCUACCCAAAGCAUCCAAUUUCCUUGUGAAACCCCUUGAUUUUGAUUUUAAAUCAUAUAAAAUAAUGUUAUUGAUUAAAUAAAAUGUGUUAGAAAUAACUUACAAUCGAUUUGGAGAAGAACACUUCUUUGGAAAAACACCCAAGGGAGCUUAGGGUUUGAGAGAGUUCGAAAAAUGAAAGAUUUUCGGCUAACUUAUGAUUUUGCAGGUCGUAUUGCGACAAGGAUUCGCAAUUGCGUAUCCUUUAAAACCUGCUAUCUUUGCAAAUGCGAAGAAUUUGUUGCAUUAGCGACCAAUGAAGAAUUCGGUCACCUUCGCAUUUGUGAAGGACAUGUCGCAUUUGCGACAUUGCAAUUGCGAGGAAAGGUCGCAUUUGUGACCAAGGCCCGCCCAGCCCAGUCUUCGAAAAUGUGAAUGGGUGUUUGCAAAUGUGAGCUUGCAAUUGCGAGCCAAGUUUGGCAAUUGCGAAGCCUGCAGCACACAACCGUUUUUUUUUCUAUGUUCAAAAGACUCUGUGGCCUUUCCAAUACUCACUCGAGCCCUCGCAGCUCCAAACAAAACUUGCAUGCAAGUCCAAAAAUAUCUUACGAAUUGCUAGUGCGAUCAGAUCAUCAAAAUAACAUCAAUAAUUAUCAAUUUAGCAUUAAAAUCGAAGAAAAAUCUCUUGAACUCCUAAGUUCUAUUUUCAAUAACCGAUGGUCCGAUUCAUGUCAUAUCAAGUCCGUCUCUUACCAAAUUUUACACGCUCUACUUAAAUACCAUAUAAGACCUGUACCACACUCCGAAAUUAAAAAUACAUGCCUAAUACCAUCAAAUUCAAACUCAUUUAGAUUUCUGCAUACUCUUAUAAUUUAAAUUAAAUAAUUUUCUUCAAAAAUUCAUUCGUCAGGCUUGGGACCUCGAAAUUUGAAUCUGGGCAUAUAUGCCCAAGUCUCAUAUAUUCCUACGGACCUUUCGAGACCAUCUAAUUACGGAUCUGAUCCGUUUACCAAAAAUAUUGAACGAAGUCAACUCAAAUUUAUUUUAAAAGAAAAAUUUAUCAUUUUUCAUAGAUUUUCACAUAAUGGUUUUUUGGAUACACGCCCGAACUGCACACGUAAAUUGAGGUGAGAUAAAAAGGAGGUUUAAGACCUCGAAACACAGAACUUACUUUCAAAAAAAUGAUGACCUUUUGGGUCAUCACAGUAACAUUGACUGAAACUGUAAAUAUUAGAGCAAACAUCAUUUAUAAUCCUUGCUUAUUUUACCUCGCCAAGGUUAGUUAGGAUAUUUGCUGAGUAUAUUGGGUUGGUUAUACAUGGUACACUCUGUACUUAAUUGUGCAAAUCCAGGUGUCGGGCCCAAUCACCAGUGGCUGAGGCUUGUAGCAUGACCGAUUAUAGAGAGCCGAGGUAGAACUACAUUCUUGAUCACAAUCUUGACAUCUCUUUCCAUAUGUACUAUUGAAUUUAUUCAGAAAGUAUUGUAGUUUGUCAUUUUAGACUUGUAUUUUAGUAUUAGAGCUCAUGACUCUGUAUUUACCAGUUUCUUGGGGAUUUAUCAUGUAUUUGUGGUAUUGUGCUAUAUUAAGGUUUUAGACUCAUUUUUACUUUUAUCUUUUCUGUUGUUAUGGUUUAUUAUUGUUAUGUCUAGUUUGCCUAGAAAGUGUGUUAGGCUAUCACGAUAGGUUAAGAUUUUUGGAUUGUGACAGUUAAUAAGUGUGCAGAAGUUGAUAAUUGUUGGUGAGUCCGUAUUUGUUCGCUUGGGAAAGGAGUUUAAUUAAUUGUUACAUUCUUUUAUUGAACUCUUAGAGUCUUUUCACAGUCAUUCAUCUAGUGUCAUGAGUAUUUAAUUAUUAUAGGCUUGUGAUAAGUAUUGUUUCUUAAAAACCGCACCUGAUAGCAUUUCUGCGGUUGUUUGAAUAAGGCGUUUUAAUUUAUUAUGAAUGUUUGACCAUGAUCAGAAAACGUGUACCUUGAUUUAUUUUGGAAAUCGUAUAAUGAUCCAACACGAAAUCCAUAGAUUCAUUAAAGGAUACAAAUUAUUAACAAAGAUAUUGCAUUAUAAUAUCAGAACAAAAUCCUUCAUCACAUCAGCAUAAAAAUGAACUUCAGUUUGUUUGGUUUUUUGUUUUUGUUUUUUUGUUACUGUAUUGAAUUAAUAGAUAACUAACGUUUUCACAUAGGAAGCUUUUUUAAGUUGCUUUAACUAGGUGUUAUUUAGAUCAUUGUGUGCUUCCGUUAACGGGUUCUCAAAACAAAGAAAACCUACAAACUGUCACUUAAAAGAGACAUAUCACCAAAACAUAGUACAUCUUUAUAUCCAUUACAAUUUCUUGACAAGUAAAAUUCAGCCAAAAAAGCAACAGAAUAAACUAUAAGAGUUGGAGUAAGGUUACCAAAGCAUGAUUGUAUAUAGAGAAAAUCUUGAAUAAAAAAUACUUUUAUUAUUGCCGAAUCUGAAUUUUAAAAUGUUGCAAUUCAACAAACGGACCGAACACCAUUGACCACGACCGAAAACCGGUGACAGCAACCUCGACAGAAAUUUAAAUAGAAGUACUAUGGGGGCAAGGGAAGUUGGACAUGGAAAGAUUUCCAAACUUUAAACAAGGAGGUUCACGGACUCUGCAGCUGAUCUCUUCCAUCUAUCUUUGAUUUCUUUCCGAUCUCGGCUGCCACUGAAAUUCAAAGCCUUAAUGUGUGACGGCCUACUAAGGUCAUCACUUAUUUACUUUUCGUUUUGUAUUUCUAAGGCCUUAAAACCUCCUCUCGAGUUUUCUCGAAUUGCGUGUUUUAUCCCGGCGCGUAGCCGGAAAGCUUAGAUAUGGAUUCUGUGAGAAAAAUACUAAAUAUUGAUAAUAAAUUGAAUAAAUUUGUCUUCGGUCAACGUUUUGGGUAACCGAACACGGACCCGUAAUUUGAUGGUCCCGAAGGGUCCAUACGAAAAUAUGGGACUUUAGCGUAUGCAUGGAAUCAUAUUCUGAGCUCCCAAGUCCGAAAAAUGAAUUUUUAUAUGAAAUUAUUUUCUAGAAAUAAUUAAAGAAAAUGGAAACGAAAUUUGAUUAGAAGACUGGGGUAUUGGUCCCGUAUUUUAGUUUCGGUGCCCGCUACAAGUGUUGUAUGUGAUUGGAGCACUUUUUGCAAAGUGUGGUUGAAAGCGGACGUCGUUUGACAUGUUUCGGAACCGAACUGGGAAUUUUAUGUCUUAUGAAAAAUUUGGAAGAAAUCAUGAGUUGUGAGACUCGAUCUGAUGCAUAUGAUGUUAUUUUGGCGAUUUAAUAGCCAGACAAGUCUGUAGGAUGUUUUUGAGGUCGUAUACAUAUUUGGUUUGCAGCCCCGAGGGCUCAGUUGAGUUUCGAGUAGGUUCUGGGAGGUCUUAGACUUAUAAAGACCAGUUAUCGCAGGUCAAGUGCAAGCUGCAGGUUCCAGCACGCGGCCACCGUUGUCCUUGCACGGUCCACGAUACGAGCCGCGCGGCUGUAGUUGUCCUCGCACGGUCCGCGGUGUGAGCCGUGCGGCCGCGGUCGUCCUCCCGCGGACCGCACUGGCAGCUUUAGAGAACCAGUAGCCUUCAGCUCUACUAGCUUAGCCGCGUCCGCUUUAGCGCGGUCCGCACUGUGAGACGCGCGGCCGUGGUCAUCUUCGUGCGGUCCGUGCUAGGCGCGUCAGAUUUCCAGUUAUUUCUCACCUUUAAAAAAAACCAAAACAUAAGAGGCGAUUUUCUAAGCAAUUCUUCUCAUUCAAAACAAUUGAUAAGUGAUUUCUAACUCAUUUUCUUCACUCCUUAACACCUUUUAACAUAAUUUUAAUAUCAAACCGAAGUUAUUAAUGGGAAAAUUUGGAUAUAUUGGGUAUGACCUAGGGCUUUGCUAAAAUUAGGGGUCGCACCUCAAUUCGAGGUCUCAUUUCAAAAGUAAUCACAUAAUUGGAUUCGUGGGGAAAUGGGUAACCAGAUUUUAGUUCGAACCUUGGGUUUUGACCAUGUUGGCCCGAGGGGUAUUUUGGUCAUUUUAUCUCAAUUUGCAUCUUUGCUUUAAUUUAAAUAGUAGAAUUAGUUGCUUGAGAUGUUAUUCACGAGAUGUAAUAGAAAUGAAUUGAUUUGGGUCAUUUGGAGUCAGAUACUCGUGGACAAAGAGUAAUUUCAAGUUAAUUUUGGAGUCAAUUAAGGUAAGUGGCUUGUCUAACCUUGUCUGGGGGACCUUCCCCUUAGAAUAUGAUGUUUGUUAAUUGAAUGCCUCGUAUGUGAGGUGACGAGCACGUACUUGAGCAAAUUUUCGGAAAACCCGUUUUUACUUGAAGUAUUUAAAUUGUAUUUUUUGCUUACCUGUUCAUUUUAAAAUGGUAGUUUAUUCUAUGCUAGUUUAGAGAGGUAUGUUCAUUUGACUUGCUUGCCUAUGUAUUAAACUAUCCAAUUUGUACUCCACAUAGUAUGCUUGGCUAGUAUUUCCUAUUUCUUGUCCUGAGUUAUGUAUCUUUCCUAAUGUUUGGGUGUCUAUUGUGUGUUUUUAAAUUGGGACUACGGGUUGGCCUCCCGGAAGAUCUCCCCUGCACUUGAUAUGUUCUGGACUGAGGGUACAGGAUACCAAGAGAUCCCUGGCAUAUGAGAGUGAAUAUAAUGAGGUUACCGAGAGAUCCUCUGGAUAUCAACAGAUCCUUAGUGAAUAUAAUGAGGAUUCAAAGAGAUCAUCGGAUACCAAGAGAUCCCUAGUGAUCAAAAUGAGAAUACCAAGAGAUCCAUAGGGAACAAAAUGAGGAUACCAAGAGAUCUUCGGGAUACCAAGAAAUUCCUAGUGAAUAUAAUAAGGAUACCGAGAGAUCCUAGGAAUGCCAAGAGAUCCCUAGUGAAUAUAAUGAGGAUACCAAGAGAUCCUCGGGAUGCGAAGAGAUCCCUAGUGAAUAUAAUGAGGAUACCAAGAGAUCCUCGGGAUGGCAAGAGAUCCCUAUUGAAUAUAAUGAGGAUAUUAAGAGAUCCUCGGGAUACCAAGAGAUCCCUAGUGAAUAUAAUGAGGACACCAAGAGAUCCUCGGGAUACCAAGAGAUCCUAGGGAUACCAAGAUAUCCUUAGUGAAUAUAAUGAGGAUACCGAGAGAUCCCCGGUUAUUCUUUCCUGUUGUGAGUAAUGUUCCUUAUAUUGUUUUUUUCUGUUUCCUGUUGCUAUUUCCUUUAUUUGUCCAGUUUAGAUUCGCUGCAGAAUUUAUCUAUGUUGUUUUUCUUUAUUUUACCAUAAUUUAUAUUUAUCUUAGUAGGGACUCGACCUUCCUCGUCACUACCCAACCGAGGUUAGGCUUGGCACUUACUGAGUACCGCUGUGGUGUACUUAUAACUCUUCUCAGCAUGUUUUUCAUGUGCAGAUCGAAGUACUUCAUCUUAGGUGCACCAUCACCGAGGCAGAG
This 15201-nucleotide long non-coding RNA is filed under the name Nicotiana benthamiana. RNAcentral's name for it is "long non-coding RNA (NBEN_LNC012952)". Lineage: Eukaryota; Viridiplantae; Streptophyta; Magnoliopsida; Solanales; Solanaceae. The record is from RNAcentral.